AGGAUCAGAGCCCACCAGACAGCUGCUAAAGCACACUAGAGCUAAAUAGGGAUUCUUCUCCCUAUUUUACAGAGAAAUUGAGGCUCAGUGAAGAGACAUACUAUUUGCCCAAUGUCACACUGCUGAUUAGUAAAAGAAAUUCAGGGCUUGAAGUCUCUUUCACUUUCCUUUACAUAAUUCUGCUUCCUUCCAAGGAAGGAGCUGAGAGGGGCUUCCCACAUCCUGGGAAUCAUCCCUUACUUCAGGCAUGUCUUGGGGCCAGAGCUGGGAAUCUUGAGCCUAGAAAAAAGAGAGUUAAGGGACCAGACCAAAUCAGAGCCAGAGGCUGUGGUUUGAAGGGGUUCCACUCUGUUGGCAGGAUCCGGAUCACCUGUUUGAAACCAUCUCCCAAGCCAUGCUGAAUGCUGUGGACCGGGAUGCAGUGUCAGGCAUGGGAGUCAUUGUCCACAUCAUCGAGAAGGACAAAAUCACCACUAGGACACUGAAGGCCCGAAUGGACUAACCCUGUUCCCAGAGCCCACUUUUUUUUCUUUUUUUGAAAUAAAAUAGCCUGUCUUUCA
RNAcentral lists this small RNA (560 nucleotides) under Pan troglodytes (chimpanzee). RNAcentral describes it as "retained intron". The record is from RNAcentral. Lineage: Eukaryota; Metazoa; Chordata; Mammalia; Primates; Hominidae.